UGGGGAAUAUUGCACAAUGGGCGCAAGCCUGAUGCAGCCAUGCCGCGUGUAUGAAGAAGCCCUUCGGGUUGUAAAGUACUUUCAGCGAGGAGGAAGGCGUUGUGGUUAAUAACCGCAACGAUUGACGAUACUCGCAGAAGAAGCACCGGCUAACUCCGUGCCAGCAGCCGCGGUAAUACGGAGGGAGCCAGCGUUAAUCGGAAUUACUGGGCGUAAAGCGCACGCAGGCGGUCUGUCAAGUCGGAUGUGAAAUCCCCGGGCUCAACCUGGGAACUGCAUCCGAAACUGGCAGGCUAGAGUCUUGUAGAGGGGGGUAGAAUUCCAGGUGUAGCGGUGAAAUGCGUAGAGAUCUGGAGGAAUUCCGGUGGCGAAGGCGGCCCCCUGGACAAAGACUGACGCUCAGGUGCGAAAGCGUGGGGAGCAAACA
This 427-nucleotide ribosomal RNA is filed under the name uncultured bacterium. RNAcentral describes it as "partial 16S ribosomal RNA". It matches the Rfam family "Bacterial small subunit ribosomal RNA", at positions 355 to 774 of the family's 1533-position model. The record is from RNAcentral.